This 411-nucleotide ribosomal RNA is filed under the name Triticum aestivum (bread wheat). RNAcentral describes it as "partial small subunit ribosomal RNA". The record is from RNAcentral. Lineage: Eukaryota; Viridiplantae; Streptophyta; Magnoliopsida; Poales; Poaceae.
AUGUUGUUUUUAGCUGAAACUUUGCAAAAAGUUCAAACACUUGAUGAAGCUUAUUGUCUCAAGGAUUUCAGAUUUUUUGGACCUUGUUUUAUCACAUUUUUUGAAGUUUUGCAAACUCGGGCGUACCUACACCCGAGAGUAGCCACAACUUUCCCAUGCCGUAGCCGGUCCGGCAGUCAUCGAGCACCACGUAGAGAUGCCGCUUCGUGGCGGUCUCCGCACCCGGAUCGCCACCGGAGUCGGACGCGCAUCCUCGUGAGCCGAUCAGGCCGUUGCGGCCGAGGGCGGCGGCCAUCUGGUUCACAUGGCGGCGGGCUCGCCGGAGAGGAUGAGGUCGUGGGAGCAACGACCGCCACGCCCACAUCGUACGGAGGGCUUCGGUUUGGAAAGACUAAGAUGGAAGAUGGAUAG